RNAcentral lists this ribosomal RNA (748 nucleotides) under uncultured Armatimonadota bacterium. Its description in RNAcentral is "bacterial SSU rRNA". It matches the Rfam family "Bacterial small subunit ribosomal RNA", at positions 76 to 839 of the family's 1533-position model. Lineage: Bacteria; Bacillati; Armatimonadota. The record is from RNAcentral.
GUAGCAAUACUGGCUUUAGUGGCGAACGGUCGCGUAACACGUAAGCAACCUGCCUUGAAGUUGGGGAUAACAGUCCGAAAGGUCUGCUAAUACCGGAUGUGGUCCACGGGGGGCAUCUUCUGUGGUCUAAAGAUUUAUCGCUUCAAGAUGGGCUUGCGGCCUAUCAGGUAGUUGGUGGGGUAAUGGCCUACCAAGCCGACGACGGGUAGCUGGUCUGAGAGGACGAUCAGCCGGAUUGGGACUGAGAUACGGCCCAGACUCCUACGGGGGGCAGCAAUUAGGAAUCUUGCACAAUGGGGGAAACCCUGAUGCAGCGACGCCGCGUGAAGGAUGAAGCUUUUCGGAGUGUAAACUUCUUUUGACAGGGAAGAAAAAAAUGACGGUACCUGUCGAAUCAGCCCCGGCUAACUACGUGCCAGCAGCCGCGGUAAUACGUAGGGGGCGAGCGUUGUCCGAAUUUACUGGGCGUAAAGCGCGCGUAGGCGGUUUCUUAAGUCUGGGGUGAAAGGUUCAACGCUCAACGUGAACAGUGCCUUGGAUACUGGGAGACUUGAGUCUGGGAGGGGGUAGUGGAAUUCCUGGUGUAGCGGUGAAAUGCGUAGAUAUCAGGAGGAACACCGGUGGCGAAGGCGGCUACCUGGCCUAAGACUGACGCUGAGGUGCGAAAGCGUGGGGAGCGAACGGGAUUAGAUACCCCGGUAGUCCACGCCGUAAACGAUGAGUGCUAGGUGUAGGGGGUAUCGACCCC